CGACCUCACCCUAAAGCCCGAGGAUGGUGGUAUUUCAAUCCUCGAAAGGGUCUCUCCUUUAUCACCGGUCUUCCAUCGUCGAUUCAUGGAUGGAAGAACCAGUUCUUCUUCGUCUCUUCUUCCAUUCCUUGGAGGUUCCCUACCCGUUGGGGGGGACCCCCGAGCCCAACCAAACGAGAACAGUCGGGUGGAGGCCGGGGACCG
RNAcentral lists this long non-coding RNA (204 nucleotides) under Elaeis guineensis (African oil palm). RNAcentral's name for it is "long non-coding RNA (EGUI_LNC024969)". The record is from RNAcentral. Lineage: Eukaryota; Viridiplantae; Streptophyta; Magnoliopsida; Arecales; Arecaceae.